AUGGUGGAGUGCCCGGACCUGUUCCCGGUGGCGGAGCCCGGCGCGGAGGAGGGGCUCGACCACGCGCCGAGGACCGGCACCGGGGUGAGGCACGUGCUGAAGCUGAGCGCGACGGACACGUUCCAGGACUACUACGCGGUCGGGCGUUACAACGACACGACGGACACCUUUGAACCCGAGGACGACGGCGACGACUGCCAGAGCUGGCGCCGCCUCGACUACGGCCACGUGUACGCGUCCAAGUCCUUCUUCGACGCGCGCAAGAACCGGCGCGUGCUCUGGGCGUGGGCCAACGAGACCGACAGCCAGGCCGACGACGUCGCCAAGGGUUGGUCCGGCGUCCAGAUCUUCCCACGGAAGGUUUGGCUGGACAACGACGGGAAGCAGCUGAGGCAAUGGCCAAUCGAGGAGAUCGAGACGCUGAGAAGCAGAAAGGUCGGGUUGCUGGGAACGGUGGUGAACUCCGGCGGCGUGAACGAGAUCGUCGGCGUCGCGGGCACGCAGGCGGACGUGGAGGUGGUCUUUGAGAUCCCGGCCCUGGAGGGAGCCGAGAGCUUCGAGCCCAACUGGCUGCUGGACCCGCAGAGGCUGUGCGGGGAGAAGGGCGCGUCCGUGCCCGGCGGGAUCGGCCCGUUCGGGCUGCUCGUCAUGGCCUCCGACGACCUGCAGGAGCACACCGCCGUCUUCUUCAGGGUGUUCAGGCACCAUGACAAGUACAGAGUGCUCAUGUGCACCGACCUGAGCAGGUCAACUACGAGAGCCGGGGUGUACAAGCCGCCGUACGGGGCUUUCGUGGACAUGGACAUCGAGGCGCACGGCGGGAUCGUCUCGCUCAGAACACUGGUUGACCACUCGGUGGUGGAGAGCUUCGGCGGCGGAGGCCGGACGUGCAUCACGGCGAGGGUGUACCCGGAGCACGCCGAGAACGGCAACAGCCACCUGUACGUGUUCAACAACGGGACUGGUGCGGUGAAGGUGGCCAAGCUCGAGGCGUACGAGCUGGCGACGGCGACCGUGAACGUUGGGGACGACGGGUUGAUUCAGCCGAGCUCCAUGCGCAGAGGUGAAGCGUACAAGGUGUGGGGACUGGUUUUGUUCGUGCCAUGGCCCUCAUGUCAAAUUUCGGCUGGCUUAGGUCCCUUACAAUGCAAGGUGCUUAGAGAAAUAAACCAAGUUUUUAUUUAA
RNAcentral lists this ribosomal RNA (1185 nucleotides) under Triticum aestivum (bread wheat). RNAcentral describes it as "partial small subunit ribosomal RNA". Lineage: Eukaryota; Viridiplantae; Streptophyta; Magnoliopsida; Poales; Poaceae. The record is from RNAcentral.